Zalophus californianus (California sea lion) is the source of this 1073-nucleotide long non-coding RNA. RefSeq lists it as uncharacterized. The record is from RefSeq and is a predicted model, not a curated record. The transcript has 5 exons. Lineage: Eukaryota; Metazoa; Chordata; Mammalia; Carnivora; Otariidae.
CAACCGAUGGGGAAACGGGGAACGAGAAGUAACGGGGGGUCCGGGACGUAGGGAUGUGUGGGGGUGACGGCUCAGAGGGCCAUGGUCGCCCCGCCAGACCUGAGAUUGUGUCCAGCCAGACCCAGAAAUUAGGGCAUAUCCGCAAGGCCCACACCCUUUAUUUCAGAGGGUAACGGAAACCACUAAGAAAAUAAGCGCUCUGGACGCCCUGCCGGAGCCGGGAGCGAGCUAGGCGCAGGCGCACACGGCUCAGCGUCUGGCUCAGCGUCUGCCCUCGAGUUACCCCGCGCUGCUGGCCGGGCGAACUAGGUGAAAGUGCUAACAACGGACAUGUAACAGUGCAUUUUACAAGGCACCUCUUAGACAUUACUCGUCCAUCUUUACCUGAAAGCUACGAGGGAAGGGGAACCGAAACCUUGAGACCUAAGAAGGAUUUUGGACUGGAGACUGGCCAGGCAGCACGGAGCAUGGAGGAGCAGAGCCUUACUGACCAGGAACAGUGUAGGAACUAGAAUUUAGAGGGAAAGGAAGAAAGCAUGAGGAAAUGCAUGUUGGCCAUCUUGGAAGCCAAGGGAAUAGCCUCAUGGUGGAUCCAAGGACAACAAUACAGAGGAAAGCCAAGUCUCUGAGGAAUUUCCUGAAUAAUCCAAAAUGCUCAAGUGUCAAGGAAUUUCCCCACACAGCAUCCAAGUCUAACCCAUUCUUCAUUUUGUCCCACUUCACACUUGAAUACACUGUAGUGGGUACACGGAAAAUUUUAAUUCCCAGUUGUUGUUGUUGUUGUUUUUCUUUCCCAGAGUUAAGUCACUGGAAAAAACUGUCAAGGCUAUAAAAAAGAAACAAGAGGUUUAAAUUCUACCUAAACUCAUCUCAGUAGCUUAAUGUUCCUUUGGGGGAACCAGCAGCAUCAUUUCAGGAGCUUAGAAGGAGAGCCAAGUGACUGGGAUUCUAACCUGUGUCUACCUCUAAGCCGACAGGCAGCCUCAGCUAAGUCAUGCCCCUUCUCCGAGUCUCCCUUUCCACACCUGUAAACUUAAAGGUUUGUGCUAGUCAACUUUUAGGUUCCUUUCCAA